GACGAACGCUGGCGGCGUGCUUAACACAUGCAAGUCGAACGGAAAGGCCCUGCCUUUGUGGGGUGCUCGAGCGGCGAACGGGUGAGUAACACGUGAGUAACCUGCCCUUGACUUUGGGAUAACUUCAGGAAACUGGGGCUAAUACCGGAUAGGAGCUCCUGCUGCAUGGUGGGGGUUGGAAAGUUUCGGCGGUUGGGGAUGGACUCGCGGCUUAUCAGCUUGUUGGUGGGGUAGUGGCUUACCAAGGCUUUGACGGGUAGCCGGCCUGAGAGGGUGACCGGCCACAUUGGGACUGAGAUACGGCCCAGACUCCUACGGGAGGCAGCAGUGGGGAAUAUUGCACAAUGGGCGGAAGCCUGAUGCAGCAACGCCGCGUGCGGGAUGACGGCCUUCGGGUUGUAAACCGCUUUCGCCUGUGACGAAGCGUGAGUGACGGUAAUGGGUAAAGAAGCACCGGCUAACUACGUG
Molecule: ribosomal RNA, 468 nt
Filed under: uncultured bacterium
Lineage: Bacteria
Description: partial 16S ribosomal RNA
Rfam family: Bacterial small subunit ribosomal RNA
Source: RNAcentral